CGCUGGGCGCGGCUAUGCUGCAGGGAAGCGCUCCAGCAGGCGAGGAGCGCUGGCAGGUGUCUGAGGAACAGAGGCGGAGCGCAGCUGUUUGACUCUGAAGGCAGCAGAUAGGAAGAACACUUCUGCCUGCCUGCCACGGGCAUCAGCUGAAGGAUCUGCUAUUCUUGCAGAUUCGUCUACAGUGAGUACGUAAUUCGGGGACUGAAAAGAACUAAAAACGGCGCUGUGGUUUCUCAAAGUGUUUUCCAGGACUCCAGUUCUUUUCAUGCAGCCAGUCACCUUCUGGGACUAAAAUGGAAUUUCCUAGCCAUGGCUGCAACCAGGACCUUACUAUAUUCAUGCAGGAAAGAUAUCUAAACUAUUUAACAGCUGCUCGCGUAGCAGAGGGUGUCCACUCUUCCCAGGAAUUCCUGUUUGCAUUUGACUGCAGCAUCUGAGUUUUCUGGGACCUGGGACUGUUAAUGGCUUCCAGGCAAAGUAUAAAAGAGCCUGCCUUCAGUAACUCCAGGCAUAAUAAAGACUGGCGGUCCCUGCAGGUGUGGGCCAAGGCCUGCUAAUAAGAAGGUUUUUUUUUAACCCGAAGAAAAAAGAAAAAACAAAACAAAGAUUGGCCCAAGGCUUUAGGUCAGUUCAUGAUGUCUCUGAGAAAAUAAUUACUGUACAUCCUUAGAGUCCUGUAAUUAGCUAAAAUGGUACAAUCGAACCCAUAUCCCUGGGAUGACUGAACCAGAUGGAGAGAAUACGAACAUUCACUUCCCUUCCUGUGGAAAAGGGGACAGUUUGUCCAGCCACUAGAUCCUUCAUGGGUGUAAACUGAAAGGUAACCAUGCCAAGAAGGAGGGGAGUCUCAAAGGGACUGCACUGAUCAGAACAAAAGGCACACUCAAAAAAGGCAAAGUCAGAGUUGAAUUAAGGGUUUAUUUACAAAUAUCUAGACAAAGUGGAAAAAAGCCACAAAAGGCUUUUGUAGCUCCUGGGACUUGUAGAGCAAGCAAUAUGAGUCUUCAGACCAAGUAGGUAAAGGGAAAGAGUGGUCACUAGAACAUAGAGACAGGGAAGGCUCAAUGGGUGAUGCCACCAGGCAGGAGCUGGACAUGUGGAGGUAACAGUCAGAGGUCAGAGAGACAAAGAAAGAAGCUGAUUCUCAACUUUACUCCCUCCGAUCUGUGGAAACCCUGUCUUUGGAACAACGGGUGAUACAAGACUUGAUAUUCUUGAAGUCAUCAUCCUGGUGCCCAGAGCAAAAAGGAGCCAUGUAGAGAAAUUCUGGAAAACCAACGGAAGUUGCCCAACUCACGGACACCCCAAAUGGUCCUUGGUAGCAGCCCAGUCUGGACAACACCAUGGCCCAGGGUGGGCUACCAGGCCUCCCAUAUCAGCCUACUCCUUUUUUUGUUUGUUUGUUUGUUUGUUUGGGUUUUUUUUGUUUUGUUUUGUUUUUUGUCUUUCCAGACAGGGUUUCUCUGUAGCUUUGGUGCCUGACCUGGAACUAGCUCUUGUAGACCAGGCUGGCCUCAAACUCCCAGAGAUCCGCCUGCCUCUGCCUCCCGAGUGCUGGGAUUAAAGGCGUGCGCCAACACCACCCGGCUAUCAGCCUACUCCUUACUACUUCUCUUUCUCUCCUAUUCUCCACCAUAUAUUCGCUUAUCAUAAAGGGAGCCGUCUGCCCUGCACCGCAGGCUUGUGAAUGUCUUCCCUACAACUCGGGCCAUGAGGACCCAGGCUGGCAUGUGGGUGGCUAACACCCGCCUGAGUGGGGAACGUGGGUGUCUUCCCUCCAACCUGGGGCCUUCCGGAUUGUCUUGAUUAUAUUCAUUGAGGUAGGAGAUCUUCAGUUACCAUUCUGUGCUGUAGGAUCCUGGAAUGUAUUGACUGAGCAGAAGCAGUCAUUGCCCUCUUCUUGUAGCCUGAAGAUAUAGAAUUUGCUUUACACUUCUGCUGUCUUGCUUUCCCCACCAUGGUGCAUGGCACCUGGAGUUGGGGGCCAAAAUAAGCCAUUCCUCCCUUAACUCGGUUUUGCCAUGGUAUGAUAUCACAACAACAGAACCACAAUUAAGAAGGAAAAAAAAACAAACCUUCCACCAUUUACCAGUUUCUGUCAAAUGUCUUGAAUCAAAACAGGCAAGUGACCCGAACGCUAGCACAUUAAGUCCAGGCACUAGGCCACAUUUGUCGUCUGUCUUAGUGCUUUGAUUGCCCUGCGUUCAUUCUUAUUCCCCCGGCCGAAAUCGUGCUUGGCAGUCUCUCUCCGCUUCUGUGUUCUUAUCUGAUGCCAGCACCGGGUGACUCACGGAUCCAUAGGAUUCUAUUAACUUGCCGAUACUAAUUUUCAGGUUUUAACUUAGCCGUGUCUGGUUGUCAGCGCAGGAAUUUUUAUUAGAAAGAAUUAUGGGAUGGAGAGAAGGAAAUCCUGGCUUCUCCACAUAGGGAGCCUUUGAAUGUAUCCCUUUCUGCGCGUGUGCUUAAAUUGUGGGACAAAGCAAAGUUCGGGGCAGUCUGCUUCCUUUGCUCUUUCAGAUACGAGUUGCCAGUGAAUUAUGCUGAACAAUUUUCAUUUCUUCAGCCCAUGCAUAGACUUAAUUUCACCUUUCCUGUUCUUUCUUCCUAUAAAUAUAAUGGGAUUUUGUGAUUCUCGUAACCCUCUCCUGGGGCAUGGAAGUUGAAAUCUUCAUGAGACAACCAGAAGCUUGAUCUUAACCUCUUGAGCGACCACCUGGGGCCAUGGUGUCAUCCAGACCUGAGCUGCUGCCGAGGGCCAUGCCUGGGCCUGGGUCUAGGAUCUUACUGCAUCCGGGUUCUGUGGGUUGAAGUCCGAGGCCCGUGUUGCCACCAAAAGUCCCAUGGAAGCCCAGGGUGGAAGCUGCAAUAUGUGACCUUGUAGGUGUCCAGGCGCUGCCAGAGCCAGCCUGAUCUGAGCAGCCAGGGCUUCCAUCAAGAGCCAGGAUGCUGUCGGGGCCUGGGCCGCUGCUGGGGGCCAUGUCUGGGUCACAAUGGUCCAGCAGCAGCUGGGGUCUGUGUUGAUGUCUGUGGCCUGUGCCACCUCAGGUGGCCGUAGGAACCAUGUGAUACAACCAGAGGGCCAUGCUGAGUCAGCCCUGCCCCUUGCUGACCCUUAGAAAGAUGGCUCCGCCUCUCGUUGCACUCUGCAGCAAGAGAGCUGGCCCCAUCCUUCACAGGAGAGAUGGUCCCACCCCUCGCCACAGGCGAGCAAGAACUUACCCUGACGGCACAGGCUCUGCCCCCUCGCCUGAGGCUAGUGGCCCCAGUGGCUCGGAAUGACCGGCUCAGCUAACAAGCAAGUCUACAGACCACGUGGAGUUGGCUCUCCCUAACAUCCACCCGAGCAAGGACCCCUGGAGCUUGUGAAGGAACUGGUCCUGUGGAAUGAUACCUGCAGGAUCUCCAUGAUUUGGGGAAGCCUUGUGAUAUCCCAGGGGAAUUUCAGUCAGGAUCCAGGGAUGAUGAUGUGCCGGGAAACCAGAGGCCGUGAACGAGACCAAUGAGUCAUUGCAACGAACAUUUGCUAGUAAAGCCAACUGGGCAAAAAGGUAUACUAUGUGGUACACUGCUCCAAAUGCAUGUUGGAUAUAGGUGGGAGAGGUGGAAAACCAGAGAGGGUUUUUGGGGGGUGUUGUGUUUUGUCUUAUUCUUGUGUUUGUAUGCUUGCUAUGUUUUAUUUUGGUUUGAUCUUAUUAAAAUUUUCUUUUAAAGGA
This is a long non-coding RNA of Microtus oregoni (creeping vole), 3713 nucleotides long. RefSeq lists it as uncharacterized. The transcript has 4 exons. The record is from RefSeq and is a predicted model, not a curated record. NCBI's taxonomy places the organism in Eukaryota, Metazoa, Chordata, Mammalia, Rodentia, Cricetidae.